GUACAGCUUCGACUAGUUCAGAUGUACAGACAUCUUACGGCCCACUGGGACUCUCGGACCGAGGAGAAGGAGCUGACGGAAACGCGAGUCUCCAUGCUACCUACAUACUUUAUCGAGCAUGAGCGGGUUGUGCCCAGGAGGUCACUCAACAUCAUUGUCCUGUGCUGUUUAUCCCAGCUGUAUGCAGAGGAUCCCAGUCCGUGUCCUCUACGUCUCCAUCGUCAGAGUGAGCAGGUUGGAAAGGUGGCACAGAACUACAGUAAAAAAGUUGCACAGAGAGAUAAGUGAUAUUAACAGCCCCGCUGGGUUGUCAUGUUGGAGAACUCCUGUGAAGAACAAGUAAACACUCUGUGGUUAAAAGUGCAUGAAGUGCAGAUGUUUAGAGUGCCAAAGCGUGCAAAGGAAG
Long non-coding RNA from Epinephelus fuscoguttatus (brown-marbled grouper), 406 nucleotides. RefSeq lists it as uncharacterized. Lineage: Eukaryota; Metazoa; Chordata; Actinopteri; Perciformes; Serranidae. The record is from RefSeq and is a predicted model, not a curated record. The transcript has 4 exons.